CCAUACCAUACUAGAAGAAGAGGAAGUCAGGAAUUGUCGAAGUAAUCGAAAGAAACCAGUUGGGAAAUUCGAAAGCAUGAAACUCUCCUUCUCUCUGCCCUCCAAAUCCUCUUCGAAGCCAAACCCUAUCAAGCCCUCGAAGACCUUCGACGACGCCAACGCCCGCCAAAACGGCGACGUUUCCAAGCAAUUCGUCAAAGAAUUCGACGCCUCCAAACCCCUCACCGGCGGCCCCAAAGCCCCCGUCAUCGCUCCGAUCGAAAACGAAUGGCGCCCUCACAAGAAGAUGAAGAACCUCGAGCUUCCGAUCACCGAGCCCGGCGGCCAGGACCUCAAGUUCGAACCCGAGUCGCUCUCCGUCGAGCCCGACUCCAAUAUUUCGUACGGCCUCAAUGUCCGGAAGGCGUCUGAGUCGGAGAAUUCGGGCUCCGGCGCCGGCGGCGAGCGGCUGAGAUCCGGCGGCGUGGAGGAGACGCUGCUUGAGAAAUUCAAGAGCGAUUUGGAGCGGUUGUCGGAUCACAAGGGGAUGGAGGAGUACGAGGGGAUGCCGGUGGAGGGAUACGGUGCGGCGCUGCUUUCCGGCUACGGGUGGUACCCCGGGAGAGGAAUCGGAAGGAAUGCUAAGGAAGAUGUGAAGGUUGUGGAGUAUACUAAGAGUACGGACCGGCACGGGUUAGGGUUUCAUAAGAAUCCGAAAGAGAAGAAGGAGGAGAUUAGGAAAGAGAAAGAGGAGGUGGCUAAGGAGGUGAGGAUUGUUAAGGGUAGAGAUUAUGUGGGUUGUAGGGGGAGGGUUGUGGAGAGAUUGGGGAAUGGGAGACUGGUUUUGAAGCUUGCGAAAAGGGGGAAGGAUCAAGAGGAAGUGGAAGUUAAAGUGAAUGUGGAUGAUGUUGUGGAGGUGGGUUCGAAAGAGGAAGACAAGUGGAGGAGGUUGAAGGAGCAGGAAGUGAAGGUUGGGAGGAGUGAUAAGCCGAGGAGAGAAGAUCAGAGGAGUUAUUCGUCGUGGCUUGCUAGGCACAUUCGGGUCAGGGUAAUCAGCAAGGAGUUGAGAGGUGGGAAAUUGUAUCUGAAGAAGGGGGAGAUAGUGGAUGUGGUUGGACCCAGUACAUGUGAUAUAUCUAUGGAUGGGAGUAGGGAGUUUAUUCAAGGGGUGUCGGAAAAUCUUCUUGAGACUGCACUCCCAAGGCGCGGUGGACCGGUGCUGGUUUUGUCGGGGAAGCAUAAGGGGGUUUUCGGCAGUCUUGUGGAGAAGGAUGCUGAUCGAGAAACUGGUGUUGUCAAGGAUGCUGAUACCCAUGUCUUGCUCAAUGUGAGGCUUGAGCAGAUUGCUGAGUUUACCGGAGAUCCUAGCUACCUUGGAUAUUGAUUUAUAGGAGCUCUUCCUCUGUAUUUAUGGUUAAGCCUUAAUUUAAGGUGUGAGGCUGAUGGCGAAGGAUAUUAUGGGAGGUGGUCUUUAAAGUUGCUUUAUAUAAAGAACAAGCUUAGAGUCUAUUGUUGCACGUAGGCAGUUCAACUUAUCAAUGAUGGAAAUGUUAGCUGGCAUAAGGGAAAAGUUCUACAGCUAUCAGAAGGUGUGGAAAAAAAAAUGAGACAAUGGAUUAUUGUUGCACAUGAGAAGUGGACCUUGUUUCUCCAACAUUGCCAUUUCUCACCAAGCAGCUACUCAAUGUCAUUCCAACUAAUUAUGGCAAUGAACCUCUUGUUUUUCGGAGCAAAAAAUAGAUUUUCUAUACAGAUUUAGUUGAAAUAGCUGAUCUGGGUACUAAAUUCAUAGCGAUGUACAAAAGCUGCAGAAAAUUGGAAUCUAACUGACGAGGUCGAAUAGGUGCCAAUCUGCAAUGAUGCCGUUGCCCGUAGUGCGACAGGCCUUGACAAGGGUGUUCCUGAUGCACAAUUGAAUGCUUGUGUUGAGUUUAACUCGGCUAGUGUGAUUGAAAUCUGAAUCUGUGGAAGCUAUUUGUGCUUUACGUUGUGGAUGUGAAGAUUUCCCCGCACUUGUUAGUUAAUGACCUUGCUGACGCUCCUUAUGUCUGGUGAGUUUUCGUGAAAGGCGUAGGCUAGAGGGGGAGGGAGGUGAAAUACAUAGGUGGUGUAGGUCACCUACAUUCUUUUGAUACUGCAGGCCAUUUUGAGGUGUUCAUGAAUGCUAUUUGAGAAUUGCCCGAGUUAAAAUUUGUACUGAACAAUUAAGUAAGGUCUCAGUUGUAAUUUUGCCUUUGGCCCCGGCGUCGAUUGAGACGGCCCUGUCUCCAUCAAUUUCAAGCAUCUCACGGUAAGGUCUCAGUUAUGGAAGCUACAUUAAUAGGCAAAAUGCAUUUUUAAGCUAAUGCCUUCAAAUUUA
Rosa chinensis is the source of this 2338-nucleotide RNA transcript. It is a transcript of the gene named protein MOS2, with no coding region annotated. Lineage: Eukaryota; Viridiplantae; Streptophyta; Magnoliopsida; Rosales; Rosaceae. The transcript is spliced from 4 exons. The record is from RefSeq and is a predicted model, not a curated record.